AGUCGCACAGCUACCUGGUAGGUGACUGGAGGUGUUGAUCAGUGCUUGGUGGGAUUUUGCUGAUGUGGCCCCAAGCCCGCCUCCCUCCCCACCCUGCAAUGGCAGAAGAAACUCGACAAAGUAAAUUGGCAGCAGCCAAGAGAAAGUUAAAAGAAUAUUGGCAGAGAAACAGCCCUGGUGUUCCAGCAGGAGCCAAGAGGAACAGGAAAACAAAUGGCAGCAUCCAUGAGACAGCCACUUCUGGUGGUUGCCACUCACCUGGAGAUUCAGCAACAGGUAUCCACGGGGAGAGCCCUACAUCAUCUGCUACCCUGAAGGAUCUGGAGAGCCCGUGCCAAGAACUAGCAGUAGUCCCAGACUCGAGGUCCGUAAAAGUCAGUCAACUGAAGAACACCAUCAAAUCUUUGAAACAACAGAAGAAACAAGUGGAACAUCAGCUGGAAGAAGUAACAUGAUUUCUUUGUUUGCUCGCGACAUGACUGCUCGGUUUGGGGGACACUCAGAUGUAGAGGCCCCGAGUCUCGUCUCACCCACUCCCAGCCUGGGGAAGAAGGCUCACCCCCCAGAGUCCACCCCAUCCCCCACAGGGUCCCUGAUAACCCGGUCCCAUGGGUGGGCCUGUCCCGGGGCAGGGGCAGUGGUGGCAUUCUGGGGACAUGUCUCUUGCAGUACCAUCUCUGCCUCCGCCUGGUUAGAUCUCUGUCUUCCACUUCCUACAGGAAAAGAAAGCAAACAACGAGAAACAGAAAGCCGAAAGGGAGCUAGAGGUUCAAAUCCAGAGAUUGAACAUACAGAAAGGGAAACUAAAUACGGACCUGUACCACACGAAACAUUCUCUCAGAUACUUUGAAGAAGAGUCCAAGGAUCUGGCCGUCCGUCUGCAACAUUCAUUGCAGCGUAAAGGAGAGUUAGAGCGGGCUCUCUCUGCUGUCACCGCCACACAGAAGAAGAAGGCGGAGAGGCAGUUCUCCAGCCGCAGUAAAGCACGUAUGGAGUGGAAGUUAGAGCAGUCCAUGCGGGAGCAGGCACUGCUGAAAGCGCAGCUGACACAGUUGAAGGAGUCACUUAAAGAAGUCCAGCUAGAGAGGGAUGAAUAUGCUGAACAUCUAAAAGGAGAGAGGGCCCGGUGGCAGCAGAGGAUGAGAAAAAUGUCGCAGGAGGUUUGCUCGUUGAAGAAGGAGAAGAAGCAUGAUAAAUAUCGGGUAGAGAAGCUGGAGAGGAGCUUGUCCAAACUCAAAAACCAGAUGGCUGAACCUCUGCCCCCGGAGCCCCCAGCAGUGCCCUCUGAGGUGGAGCUGCAGCACCUGAGGAAGGAACUAGAGAGAGUGGCAGGAGCGCUCCAGGCCCAGGUGGAGUACAAUCAGCGCAUAAGUCUCCUGAAUGAGGGGCAAAAGGAGAGGCUUCGGGAGCAGGAGGAGAGGCUUCAGGAGCAGCAGGAGAGGCUUCCAGAGCAGGAGGAGAGGCUUCGGCAGCUGGCCGAGCCACAGAACAGCUUCAAGGAGCUGAACAAUGAGAACAAGAGCGUACUACAGUUGGAGCAGCAAGUAAAGGAGCUGCAGGAGAAGCUAGGCAAGGAGCGUCUGGAAGCUGCCAGCCAGCAGAAACAGCAGCUAACGGCCCAGUUGAGCCUCAUGGCUCUCCCUGGGGAAGGACACGGAGGAGAACAUCUGGACAGUGAGGGGGAGGAGGCACCUCGGCCCAUGCCGAGUGUCCCAGAGGACCUGGAGAGCAGGGAGGCCAUGAGCGGCUUUAUGGACCACCUGGAGGAGAAGGCAGACCUGAGUGAGCUGGUGGAGAAAGAAGAACUUGGAUUCUUCCAGUACUACAGAGAGGGAUGCCAUCAGAAAGUUUAUCACCCUAUAACAAAGCCAGGGGGCAGUGCCAAAGAUGCAGCACCGGGAGGAGGACACCAUCAGGCUGGCCCUGGACAGGGAGGAGAUGAAGGUGAAGCUGCUGGAGCUGCAGGAGAUGGUGUUGCAGCUGGUGGCGACUACAAGGGACACAGCAAAUUCUUGGUGACUGCCCAGAACCCUGCUCAUGAGCCCAGUCCAGGAGCCCCAGCCCCCCAGGAGCUUGGGGCUGCCCACAAGCAUGGUGAUCUUUGUGAGGUGAGCCUCACUGACAGCGUGGAGCCUGUGCAAGGAGAGGCCAGGGAGGGUUCUCCCCACGACAACCCUACUGCACAGCCGAUCGUGCAGGACCACCAGGAGCACCCAGGCUUGGGCAGCAACUGCUGUGUGCCAUUCUUUUGCUGGGCUUGGCUGCCAAGAAGAAGGAGAUAAACAUGACCAUCGUCAAAGAGCUGCUCAAGAAAUUUUUAAAAAAGAAACAAAGUUAUGGGGUUAAUCUCCUACACAAUUCAUUUACUUCGUUUGAAUGUUAUAGCCACUUAUGAUUAUUUGUGUUUCUAAUUUAUAGUUUAAGUUUAUUUGUAAAUAGUUAAAAGAGAGUGGGUCUCUGUGGCUUUCACUGAUGUUCACUCUGGCAUACUUUCGCAAUUUUCUUUUUCAAUUUCAUGAUUGUAGGUCAUUAGCAUGCAUAUUGAGUUUGCCCUUACGUGGUGGGAGUUCAAACACACAAAGACCCACUAUUUGCACAAAACUAUUCUUGCUGGUUUGGAAUAGGCUGCCAUGUGUUUUUAAUGUUAUUGAAGCAUGUAUAUUCAUUACAGAAUUCAGAUAAAAUUUGCCUAUGUUCUGCUAUUGUUUGAUCUAAUCUUAAUCACAGUGAGCUCUUCAUUAGCACAAUAUGUGGUUUGCCCCAAGUUUGCACUAUUUAAUACUUUGUAAUAUGCCACCAAGAGUACUGACAUUUAGAGUUGUUUAAAGGCCGAGAACUGGAAACAGCCUUUCCCUCAUUUUCUGUGUAUUGGUGAUGGGAGUAAUAACAUUUUGGGGGAGCUUUUUAAAUUUCACAGAAGAGGAAAGUUGCCUGCUCUGGCAGGUAUGUGCAAGAUAGAGUGUGUUUCAUUUGUUCUGUUGCCAAGAAUUAGUGCUGUACUAUUGUAGUUCCUUUAGGAUUUGUAUGUGCUCUGGGCUCAUGAAGAUAUUGCAUCAUGAGCUGCAGCAGUUGUACUCUUUUUUGAUGACCUAAAAAGGGCUUAUUUCUGAGGAAUGAAAGGUUCCCAUCAUUGACUAUGGAUGUGGAAAACCUUUCCUAGCUUAGAGCAUUUGUAUCUAUAUUUUAAAGUCAGAGUUCAUGUUACCUGUUUUAAUCACAUGACUGCAUGUCCCAGUACACAAAAGGGCACUGGUUGGCAUUCUUCUUAAUGUAUUUAGUAAAGAUCAGAAGAAAUCCUUUAAGAGUUUAAAUGUCCCUGGAACACGCAUACAGGCUCUAGUCAAGAAUGAAUUAGAGUGAAGGAAAGCUGUGUGACACCUGGCAUUCCUCUGUUCAUGGAGCUUCUUUGAGGCUUGAAGAUUGAUUUUACCAUCUAGACCACUCUGCCUAUUCUUCAACCACCUUGGUUACUUUGACAUAGGAAUUGACUUCUUUUCCUUGAAUGGAAAACACUUUGAAAUAAUAAUAAACAUUGUUAUAAACUAAUAUAUGUGAGAGUGCUUAGUUGAAACAAAAAGGAGUUUUAGUAGACAGUAUUAUACUAUCUUUGAAAAUCAAGGAGAAGUUUAUGCAACUUAAAAUGUGUACAAACUGCAGUGCAAUCUACUGUUGGUGAAUGUCAGUGUAUUAUCAGGAAACAUGUCUAUACAAUCACAGAGUUAUAUUUCCUCACAAACUUCUUUGUGAAGAGUGAAAUGUGUUUCUGUACCUCUGGGUUUCACUUACGGGCAUAUUUUGUGCAGUAUUUAUGUGAUUGUGCCUAUGCAUGAUGAAUGAAUGAAUUUCAGUUGUACAUUGCCUAAAUCAUAACUUGAUGAUGCUUGGGAAAGACUCAACAGUUAAAACUUCAUGAAGUUCUAAUGUCUGUGUUCCAAAACACAUCACAUUAUUAGGAUGUAGGGAGAUAUGUAUGUGUGCUCCCUGGGGUGGGGAUUUCUAGUUACUAGACCAUCUCCAUUUUUAGCAGUUGGCAUCCUCAUGAUACUUUUAUAAAUACGACAUUAACAGGAGAGCAGCAGUACGAUUUUGCCGAUGGAAUAACAGAUUUGCCGGCAAUCACUGAAAGAGUGCAAAUAUCGGGUCCUUGUGACUUCAACGGACUCUUCCAAAUUGUAUGAAUGUAUCAAUGUAUUAGAUAAACCCAGUUUCAGAAUGAUAAAGAAAAAAUGUUAGACCAAAUAAUGCGGCUAGUUAACAGUGGUACGAUUUCUAGCCCGUGGCUUUAAAAUGCACUUAAAGUCCUGUCCUUGCCUUUUAUUUUCUGAACUUGAUGUUUUUGCAUUCUUUGAGUUCAGUUUAAAGACAACUACGAGCAUCUGUAACCAAUCUGACAAUAAUGUGUUCAUCAGGUGCCUAUGGAUUAAAUCACAUACUGGCAUAUUUAAGCUGAAUGUCAAUCUGGAAAAUAAAUUGACUGUAUUAACAGAAAUACCACUCUUUGUGUAGAUAUUUGUCGUAUAUUUAAGAAAAAGCUAAAAAGAAUGGAAAUCGCAUGACUAUAACUUAAGUCUUUCUUCAAAGUGCAUUGCAGUCUUUUGCGAUACCUCAUUCAGCCAAGUAUUGGUAUUCUUCCUCAUUCGGUAUAAGGCAGCUUUCAAUUUGCUUAGAAGGCAACAUUGGAAGGUUAGAGUUCAUCAGAAACAGAAUUCUAAAAUGUGAGUUCAAUUCAAUAAAUUUGAAUUUCUGUAGGAAGAAUCAAAUCACCGAUUUAAAGAGUGCAAUAUAUAAUAAUCAUUUUUAAAGUAUUGGAUUAAAUCUGAUAGGUUUUCCAGAAAUGAACAAAAAUCAGCUCUAAAACCAAAGCUGAUUUUUAGAAAAUUUGAAAAUGUAAAUCAGCCCUAUCCAUACUAUAGUUUCUCUAAAACUUUAUCUGAAAGAGUCAUUUUAAAAUAACUAUUAAACAAUGUAACUGCUAUCUUAAUGUUCUGAAAUAAGUUAAAACAUUUUAAAAUAUGAAUACUGUAAAGGAAAUAAAUGGUGGGAAGGAAAAGUAGAGAAAGAAAUGCCAAUUCCAGUCCAAAGCUUUAUUUGCCAAGUUUUCUUAGAAUGAAUUUUACCAAUUUAUGAAUUCUUGUAAGCGGAAUGUAAAACGGAAAUACUGAAAGACUUUUGCCUAAAGUGGCAUUAUUGACUGCUGGUGUGAUGCUACUGUAAUGUAAUAAAUUAUUAAGUUGUUGCAAA
Molecule: long non-coding RNA, 5241 nt
Organism: Homo sapiens (human)
Lineage: Eukaryota; Metazoa; Chordata; Mammalia; Primates; Hominidae
Gene: GOLGA8DP
Product: golgin A8 family member D, pseudogene
Source: Ensembl